GAAGAUGUGGAGCGGUUGGAGUUGGGGGCAUAGUUUGUUGGUUUCGUAUUUGGAUUCUUUUGCUGGUAUAUAAAUAUUUAUUAUUAUUAUUAUUUUAUUGUGAUUUACGCGCUAAUGCCGUCCUCCCUCGGUAAGCUUCGCCAAGGCAAGGCCAGAAGCACUCCAACAUAGCCUCAUCUACUACUCUCUCUCUCUAUAUAUACAUAUUUCUUGCUAUAUCUAUAUAUAUCCCCCAUAUAACCUUCACUUUCAAUAUCGACAUAACUUAAUAUCUCUCUUUAGGAUAUUAUUAGCUAUCUGAUUAUAGUUUAAGUAGUACGUAUCAAUUAGCUUAUAAUUAUUAUCAAUAUGAAUCAGUAUGAUCAAAAUCAACCCCAAGGAGGUACGUGUGUGUUAAUUGAUUGAUUUAAAUUUUGAUUGGAAAAUUUAAGAUUAAUUUGGAUUUUGAUUGAAUUUGCAGUCGCAGUCUCGUAUCCUGCAAUUUCAAGCCCUUAUGCAGCUCCGCCGCCUGCUGGUUACCCCACGAAAGACGGUGCCGAUCCCCCUGCUGGUGCUGAUGGACCUGUAGAAACUAAAUCGAGAGGUGAUGGAUUUUGGAAAGGAUGCUGUGCUGCCUUGUGUUGCUGCUGUGUAUUGGAUGCUUGUUUCUGAUCAUUCCCCUUAAUUUGUCAUAUGAUCAUAUUGUCUUCUCAAUUUAUUUUUUUUUAAAAUUUUAGUUUUAUCACUAUUGUAUUUAUGUAUUAUGUAUGUAUGUUGUUGGGCCAUGAUUCUAUUCUUUAUUGGGCCAAACUUAAUGGGCUCCUUCCUUGGAUUAUGUUAUUUUUGCUUUGUUGGUCCGAAUGAUUUGGGCCCAAUUAUUUGAUUAUUUCAUUGGGUCCUUUCGGUUGAAUUCGGUCGUAUGGGUUAUUUCCGUCAUCUGGGCUUAGUCAUUGAAUUGGCCCAUUAUACAAAUUGCCACUUAACCCAACUUUGACCGAUAAUCAUUACGCCAAAUAAUAUUUGACUAUUAUGUCUGCCACCUUUCUGCAUGACAUUAAUGAGGAUGAGACUCAGAUGACCGGCGGUGGCAAAUAGUGGUAGCAGGUGAGAAAGUAGGUUACAUACUUUCGACUGAAAUGACCGGGAGUGGGGAAAAGGUGUCAGGAGGUGAUGGGUGGCACGGUAAACCGGGAUUGGAGUACGUAUGGGGCUAGGAUCACAAAAAGGAAGUAAGUAACAAGAUAUUACAACAUAUAAUCAUAAUAUUAUUCUCUCUCAGGCAUUAGACAUUAUUUUUCCUCCAUUGUUAACCUUAUGAUCGCCGAUAUUGACUCUCACGCCGAAACUAUCCUCCGACGGUCAAGCCGUCAAUCUUUUGGUGUUGACUUGUUGAAUUGUGCAGGAUAUCGGACUCGUCUUGAUGAUUGGGACGUGGAGAAAGAUCCUGACGUUAACAUAUGUACUAAAGAGAGAUUUGGAAGGAUUGAUUUAGUGAUUCCAACUAUUGAUACAUACUAUUCAUCUAUUCUAUUGUAGUUGAGUUAGUGAUGCUUAUGAUCCCAAAUCUACAUUUAUGAGUAAAAUUCCAUUGUGUUUAAAUCAUAUAGAGUUAAUUUUUGAGAAAGAUUGGAGUGCGUUGACCAAAGAGUUAUCACAAUAUUUUAUUAAAGAGUAAUGAAUUCUUUGGGAAGGUGUGAGAGAUUUUUUUUUUUUGUAAUUUUCUCUUGGUCAUUAUUUUUAUCCAAAUAGAUUUUUCAUGACAAGCUUGUCAUCUUUUUUCAUUCGCUGAGUUUUUUUCACUGAAUUUUUUUAACAAAAUUUUAAUAAAAAAUAAUAUUCUAUUUUAAGAAAUCAGGGGCCAAGAGAUUUCAAACUAAUGGGACCAUAACUAGAUAUUUUUCUUUCUAGUCAAUUAUUUGAUUUGUAAUUCACUUCAUUUUGUUUUUAUUAGGUCAUUAUUUUUACAGGGGUAAAAAUAAUAAUCUAAUUUCUUUGUAAUUUUCAUACGAAAUACGACUCCUUUUAAUUUCGAGACAUCUUGCAAAACCUUAUCUUAAGCUUCUUGCUAUGGUGGAUAAAGGACUUAAUCCUAUAUUAUUAGAACUAACCAAUGUCAUUAAAAAUCAUACCUAGACAUGUUUGGACUCUAUUCCUAAAAUCGUUCUAGUACAAUCAAUAAAUCCAUUUAUUAAAAUACAAACAUAUUUAAAACAGAAGUUUUAAGAAUUAAUUGAGAGUGGAUUGAUUGUUAAGACUAUGAACUAUAUGAAAAAUUAAUAAUUAUCAUCCUUAGCCCAAGAUGAUAGUUCUAUAAAGACUAUUAGCAUGAUAACGAGUUUAAUGUCUUAACUGGAGAAAGCCAAGAGAUUUUUCUGAUUUUACCCCUACCAUGAUUUCUGAAAAGAUGGAACAAAACAAGAAAGAAAAAAAAAAAGUCUAAAUUUACUUUCAAUCUUCAGAAAAUAUGCUCAAGACGACAACCAAAUGUCUCCACCAACAGGAAAAGAGAAUCUAGUUAUCCGCUCUCCCUAAUUUCUUUAUAAAUUUCAUAGAAAAUACUGUAGGUCAUAGUUGUGACAAUUUUGUUCGAUCCCAAAUUUAGUGUGACCAUAUUUAUUUCCUUAUAUUAGUGUUGGAUUUGGAAUUUAGCCUUCUCGCAACAACAUGUAUAAUUAUUCUUAAAAUUAAUCUUUUAUGGUAUAAUUAUAUAUUCAUUUAAGUUAAUUCAUUAAAACUAAAGUAUUUGAGUAAUGAAAAUAUUGUAUGUUGCUUGUUUUUGAAUUAAAAAAAAUAUUUAAAAAAUUUGGAGUAUAAGAUAUUAUUUCCCAUGGCGGGUGAGUAUCAUGAAAAAUAACACAUUAAUUUGCCAGCCCAUUGGUCAAAACACCUUUACACAAAAUAUUAUAGUGUCAAAAAAUGCUUUUAUCUGUCGCUAUAAUCACUAUUAGAUACUCCAUAAAAUUCUAUGCCAAAGAGAUCAUCAUUGAUGGAUAUUCAUUGCAACAAUUCUUAGACACUGACACUGAACCUCUCUAUAUCACUCAAACAAAUGUGAAAAUAUUUGACCAAGUUGGAUUGCGAUUAAUUUGAAAGUAUAUGCGAUACAAUAAGUCUAGGAGGAUAUUUUUUUAGUGACAUUUUUUUUUGUAGUACCUCCCAAAAAAAUAUAGUAUUUAUUCCAACUGAAAUGUUUACAAAAAACAGUAUUUUAGGUGUAAUUUGGAUACAUACAAGAAACAGAAUUGUACAAACUGUAAACAGAGUUGUAACCACCAAUGGCCAUAUCUUAUUCUAAAUUUAAAUUGAUUAGUGAAAUUGGGAUGUGUUAUUUCAGGGAGUGGUUAACAUGAAAUUAAAUUUCGUCAAUUGACCAAUAUACGCUUGAUACACAGGCCAUGAGGUGAUCUCUUUCUGCGUGUCAGCACUGUAUUAAUUAAUUGAUCAAUUUACCAUGAAAUUAACUCCAUGGUAACCGGACAGUAAUAAAUGUUGUAGUCAGCUUAGUGUAGAAGUUUUAAUACAGACUCGCAGCAUAUAAAUUGUGCCUACAAUAAUAUUAACAAUCCUGCUGCUGCUGGUUACCCCACGAAAGACGGUGCCAAUCCUCCUGCUGGAUUCUGGAAACGAUGCUGUGCUGCCUUGUGUUGCUUGUUUCUGAGCGAGAAUUGGAAUUUAUGUGUUAAAUGAAAUCAUCUAUAUAACUUUUUUGUUUAUUAUUUAUUUUUAUUUAAGAAUAUAUAAAUUAGACCUUUUGUGUGUGUAAUGAAGGAGGAAUUUAUUAUUUCAGCAUUCCUUACUUAGCCCAACCCAGCCCAGCCCAAUAUUUUCAUCCUUUAAAAGCUAAUCCAUGGGCCGAGGACCAAGGUUUUAGAAAUAAUACUGUUCAACUCUCCAAUAAGCCUGUCUAACCCUAGGGUUUUGGUCGGGAGAAGAGAGAGAGGAGAGCCGUCGUUGAUCUAAAAUGGUCAAGUUUUUGAAGCCAAACAAGGCGGUCAUCGUCCUGAACGGUCGAUACGCCGGACGGAAAGCCGUGAUCAUCAAAUCCUUCGACGAGGGAACCCGAGACCGUCCUUACGGUCACUGUUUGAUUGCGGGGAUAUCCAAGUACCCGAAGAAGGUGAUAAGGAAAGAUUCAGCGAAAAAAACAGCAAAGAAGUCAAGGGUGAAGGCAUUCAUCAAGCUGGUGAAUUACAACCACAUUAUGCCGACUCGUUAUACUCUGGAUGUGGAUCUGAAAGACGUUGUCACCGUCGAUUGCCUCCAGUCACGUGACAAGAAGGUGACCGCCGCGAAGGAAACCAAGGCCCGCCUUGAGGAGCGGUUCAAGACCGGAAAAAAUCGCUGGUUCUUUACUAAGCUUAGGUUCUGAAUCUGGAUCUGUUUUCAUUUUGGUUAUGAAAUGUUAGUUGUUAAUGAGAGAGAAUAUGAACUGAUUCUGAAGUAACAUUUCUUUGAGUUUUGACUUGUUUAUCUCAUCAUAUUUGGAAGUGGAAGUUAUAUCAAAUCAUUUUGGUUUGCCAAUUUUUUCUAAUGGUUCGUUAUGAUGCAGUUAUGUUAGUAUCCAAAUGGGUGUUGAUUUAUAAGCAAAUUGUUCUGAAUUGUGUUUGCAUAAUUUCUGUAGUUUUUUAAAGAAUUAUUUCCAAUUUAUUUAUCAAAUGGGGCUUUCAUUUUGUUUGUCAUUUGCUGUAGAAGCUAGAGCUGCAUGGUAUAUAUCCAAAGGGUGGUAGAUUUCCUCAUUUUCUUCUUUGAUUAAUUAUACUUUGCAGAUUAUACAGUACAUGUAUUUGCUGUAAUUCUUUGUCUUUUUUAUUUGUAUAGAAGAAGCUGCUUUUAUUUAUAAAUCAACUGCACAGCCCUCCUAGAUUGAUCUGAAUAUGGUUGUCAACUUGUCAUAAGCUAUUUUAGUUGGAGAUUUGAGAAUGAUCUAGUUUGCUUGGCUAUAUUGUGCUGCAGUUGACAACUCAUAAUCCGUAGCUAUAGGAUCUAUAGCGACACUUUUGUUGUGAAAAUAACAAAAAGUGUUGUGGAUUUAACAGUUCCCUAAAUUUUUUAUCAAUAUAACUAUCACCCAUCUCCCAUAAAUAUACAGAUACUCUCCAGUAACCCUCCUGGGGGUUUUGGUGGAGAAAAGAGACCAUUUUUGAUAAUUUGGCCUAUAUUAUUGUGUUUGAGUGGUGUUAUUUUGCUAUUUAUAGUUUGUACAACUUGUAUUGCAUAUAUGUGAUAUGUUGGUCAGAUGACAUCUAGUUUGAAAAUGGAUCUCAUUCUUCAGUUGCAAUUUGGCUGUUAUACCAUGAAAAAGAUGUCUAUGAAUGUCUUUUUGUGUAUAGAAGAAGAAACUGCUUAUAUUUAUAUGACAAUUGCACAAAGAUUGUUUUGUUACUGCUGCUGCUGCUGCUGCUUUACAAAGCCAAGGUUCUGAAUUUGUAAGAUUUAUUUGAGUUUUUGACUUGUUUACAUCUCUGUUUAUCAUAUAUUUGGAAUCUCUAUACUUGAAAUAAAUAUGAUAAAGAUUCAUCCAUUUUACCAAAAAUGCUUCAAAAUCAGUCGAUCAAAAACUAAAUAAAUACACAUUUCCAAUCUGCUAUGCAUACAUGGCAUGAGUAGGGGGACCAACUUUGAGUCUAACAACAAAUUAGAAUGCCACCAAACUUUUCCAAUCUGCCAUGCAUAAAAUUACAAGCAGAGAGAACAGAGAUAAACCAAACCAAGAAAACUUGGAGAUCCAUGGCUAGUAUUUCUUUCCAAGAACUACACCAACAAUCACCGAAAUCAGAGCUACACCCAAAAUGAACUUAAAGGUCAUGCCAGAAGAAACCUCAUUGUUUUGAGUUUGUGUGUCUGAAGAAGAUGAACUUCGAGCACAACUUCCUUCUAACUUUUUCUUGUGUCUGCGUUUCGAUGGAGUUGAAAUAGGGGAUCCAGUUUCCCUAUAUUUCACUUCCAUUCCUUCCUUCAAUUCAUUCGAACCGGCUCCAGUAUCCUACGAAAAAGUUAUGCAUAGGCAGUAGUUGAAAUUGAUUUAGACGCCACCCACUAACGAUGAGUUGAUAUGACUACUUGUACUAAUCUCAUGAUUAGUCCGUUAUAAAACGCUUAAGAUAGGAUGAUGUUUUACUGAUUAUAUUAUUUAUAAAAAAAUUCAUUACCUCUACAUUGACUAGAGCAUCACGUGCUGCUAAUUGUUCUUCAAACUUCUUCAAACAAUCAUUCAACUCAGAUUUCUUUUCAAUCGCAGCCUUGAGAUUUUCCAUCUCAGCUUUCAAAGCAUUUUCAUUUGAUUUUUGCUCUUUCAAUUGUCCUUCAAGUUCCAUAGUCUGCAGCUCCUUUGCAUUUUGAUGUGUUGAUUCAGUGAGGGGUAAAAUCUUAAGUUGUAACUCGUAACAUAAUCAUAUCAGAGAUAUGAUGGAGACUAAAAUCUCAUAAAAAUAUUUAUAUAAAAAAAAAAAUCAAAAAUCCAUUUUAUGUAACUAUGCAAUAUGUGAUUAUUAAUUACAAACCUGAGAUUUGAACCUUUGCCUAUCCAAAGUAAGCUGCUGUUUCAAAUCUUCUACUUCUGUCUUUGAAGCGUGAAGCUGUUCAACUGCUUCAUCCUUAUCAGAAUAUGUUGAAAACAAUUUUGUUUGUAGAUCAUUCACUUUAGAUUCAUACACAGCCAGUCCCUGGGUAAGUUGCUGAGAAGUAGCUUCCUUUUCAACAUACUCGGAAUUCAGUAAUUCUUGAAGCUCAUUAAUCUUGCUCUUGAGCUGUGUAUUUGUCUCGACUAAUAGUUCACUCUCUGAUAAAGAUUGUGCAGCUUUAUCUUCUGCUUCUAAGAUCCAUUUCUUAAGUUCUUCAUUUGCAUUCUCUGAGAAAGCCAGUUUCAAUGAAAUGAUAUCGAAUUCGUCCCUCAAAGAUGCAUAUCUUUCAGCUGCUUCAGAUGUUUGCUCCUUAAAAAUCAUAACUUGAUGUUCAAGAGCCUGCACUUUUUCAUACAAUGAUUUUAGCUCGAAAUCUUUGCUGGUGAAACUUGCAAUUGCCUCUUGAAGUUUCAAUUCUGAGUCUUUGGUUACGGUUUCAUGUUCUUGCAUUUUCACUCGUAGCUGCUUUUUUUCUUCCUCAAUAUUUUCCAAUGUGGAGCUGAGUUCAUAUAUCUUCUCAGAGAACUCUUUUAUCAAAUCUUCCUUUAAAUUAAGCCUCUUUUCCAUGUCCACAACUUGUGAUUUCAAAAUCUCCAACUCCCCUUGAACUAUAGAAAGUUCAGCAUUUCUAACUUUGAGUGCUGCUUCGACUUUUUCAUUUUCAGCAAUCUUCGCAUACAAGCCCUUGACUUCUUCUUGUAAAAUAGCCAUUUGAGCUUCCACUUCUUUGGCACUCAGUUUCGCCAUUUCAAGCAAUCUCUCAAACUCCAACGCCUUUUUUGCCUCAAAUUCAGCAUGAAAACCACUUUGCUUGUGUAACUCCUCAAACUUUAGUGCCUCACCUGUGGAAAAAUGCAGCUCCUGUUCUACCUCCAACAUCUUCUUUUUCGAGCUCUCUAGCUCAAGAUUAAGACCAUCAAAAGCUUCCUUCACACCGAUCAACUCCCUUUGCUUUGCUUCUUGAGCUUGCAAUACCUCUUGCAAUGUAUUAAGCUGCACAUUAUAUCUCUCUUCAGAAUCAUAAAUCUGAUCCUGUAAUUUCCUGUGACUGAGCUCAAGCUCAUCGUAUCGUUUCCCACUUUCUUCCAGCUUCUCCUUUGUAAGAAAAACUUUAUUGUUUAGCAUAAUAUUCUCAGAUUCAGAAUGCUUUAAAGCUCCAGAUACUGCUAAUAAUUGAAGCUCAAGUUCUUUCACCUUUACUUGGGAUUCUAGAAUUUCUCUGCUUGGAUAUGAAUUGCUUGAGCUUUGUUCAUUAGCACAAGGCUUUCCAUCUACAACAGAUUCUUUCUCUUCUUGUAUAAAUUCUCCUUCAAAGGUAGUUUCAUCCACUUCUUUUACCUGUUGUAAAGAUUUUCAAAGCAAAUAUACUACAACUCUUUAACCUCUAUUGUACCCUUUCACCCAAUUUGGGAGAAAGGUAUAAUUGAGGGAAUACUAGUCCCUAUAUGCUCAAAACAAGAUUUUUCCAAAAAAAAUAUAUCUUCUGAAUUUUUCGAAACCACAUAUUUAACCAGUGUUUUAUUUCCCCUUCCAAAGUUAAAUAUAACUAAAAGGUAAAUCAUAUACAUAUUUACCUUAUUGGGAUCAACAUUGUUGGCCAUCUCCUUAACAACCUUUGCUACUGGUACCUCUGAACUUGCUAGUAUUUCUUCCUCCAUUGCUGCAGUUGAUGAACACCCAGCCAAAGCCUACCAAAUGAAGAUACAUAAAACCAUAUUACCUAUGUCCAAACUUCUACAAUAAUAAGAGUUUCACUUUACUUUUUUUUUUUUCUGGCUAAUUAAGCAUUGUCAUUAAAACUCUUGCACGUAACAUAUGGAAUUAGUAAAAACAUUUUAAGUAAUUAUAUCUAUUUUUUUUGAAGUAUUGUAACUGAAAUAAGAUCUUGAAUUAUACUAUUACAUAAUUAUAUUAAAACUGAUCAAACAAAUCCAUAUCAAUCUGUUAGAUUGCGCACUUUUUGAAACAAGAAAAAUUGAUCAUGUUUUCAUCCAGCACAGCAGAAAAAGAGAGAGAGAGAGAGAGAGAAUUAAUGAGGGAUCCAAGAACCCAAUAGACAUAAAUAAUCAAAUCAAUGAACAUGAUUAUUAUUAUCUAGUAGUAGAAGAAACAUAGAAUAUAUAUAUAUAUAUAUAUAUAUAUAUAUAGAGAGAGAGAGAGAGAGAGAACCUAAAGGGAAAAUGAAAAUAGGAGAGAUCGAUGUUGGAGCUAGCUUGCCUGCCUGCCUCAAAGCUGAUUUAAUUAUUUCUUCCUUUUUUUUCUAUUUUUUGCUUGCUGCAAGGGCUUCCUUCCUUUGUUUGAUUUUCUAGAGAGAGAAAAAAUGAAGUAGAAGUAGAAGUAGAAGUAGAAGUAGUAGUACAGUACUCACAAGGUCCCAACUCAACUGUAAUUCUGUGGGAGAGAAAGAGGAAAAAGAGUGGGUCCCUUAAACAGCCAGCCAUAGCCAAUUGCUUCUUUGUUAAGUAGUCCACUCCCUAAAGGUAAACCUACAAGUCCACAGUCUAGCCCUAUUCUCCCCCCAAUAAAAAGUGGGUAGGCUAAUAAAUAAUGUUAUUAUCAUAUAAAAAAUACUCAUAUAACAUAUAUAUAUAUAUAUAUAUAUAUAUAUAUAUAUAUAUAUAUAUAUAUAUAUAUAUAUAUAUAUUUGUGAGCUUCAUAUAUAGAUCUGGUUAGUAUGAAAUUUAUUUUUUGGUAAGUUUAUCAAUUAGCCAAUAGAAUGUUGAUAUACAUAGAGUCUCGUUUGCGUGUCAGCAAUCUAUUGGUCCAUAAUAUAUAUGUGUGUGUAUAUGAAUAUUAUAUUUUAUGUAAUAAUAGCAUUGUUGGUAAUAAUUGGUGAGUUCUUUUCCUUUUGUCCUUUUAUUUUCUAGUUGCAGAGAAUUACAAGAGAAUAAGAAUGGAAAAAGAGUGACAUUUUUUAUAUACUUCCCUAGAUACCAUCCCAGCCAAAUCCUACCAAAUCAAGAUACAAACAUUUUUCCUUAUUAAAACUCUUGCACAUAAUUUUAUUCUCAAAAAUAGUUUUACCAUAAAAUUUUUAAAAUUUAACUCCCUCUACUUUAUACAAAGUCUCAUUUAUCAAUUUUUUUGUUUCAAAAAAAAAUUCAUUUCUUUUAUUAAUAGAAUAUAAAAUGGUACAAUGUACACAAGUUUGUUAUCGGAAUUUCAUUAUCAUGCUAACAUUACUGGACUAGCAACUUCAUGGUUUUAGGAGUACGGGACUCUUUGUUUAGGGUUGCAUGGUUGAAUCAGUCAGUAAUUCAGACGAUUUAAACUAAAUAGUUUAGUGUCAUUUUUUUGACUAAAUGAGUUAAAUAAAAAAAAAAUUAUACAAUAUUAACUAUUAUAUUAAAUAAAUUAUAUUAAGUAAUAUUAUACAAUUUUUUUCAUUCAGAUUUAGAUUUAUUCAGUUUUUAUAACACCCCCUAAAUAUGAAACAAGAAUACAUCAUUAAUAUUUGAAAAUAACUUCGAAAUAAAGGUUCAAGUAAGCAAGAUUCUGAUAUAUUCAAUCCUAUUAAUGAAGCAUCAAUUGUACAGAAAAAAAAAACUGAAAGAAUUCAGGUAAAACCCCACGGCAAAGGAGUGGGGGGAGGGGGGUAAUUUCNNNNNNNNNNNNNNNNNNNNNNNNNNNNNNNNNNNNNNNNNNNNNNNNNNNNNNNNNNNNNNNNNNNNNNNNNNNNNNNNNNNNNNNNNNNNNNNNNNNNUAUCAAUUCAGAAAGAGGAAAUUUGAACCAUAUUAAUACCCGUAAUAUUCCAGAAGGCAAGUUGACUACUUUGGACCUGACCCAGAUGGUGGAUUCUGCUCAAAGCCUCCCGGGAUGAAGACAGGAAGUUGAUUCGAGGUAGCAUCCCUUUUAAAUCUGGACUCUCGAGGAAUGUUCCAUGGUGCCCUGUCUUGGCCCUCUCGUGAACCUAAACC
Molecule: long non-coding RNA, 10517 nt
Filed under: Panax ginseng (ginseng)
Lineage: Eukaryota; Viridiplantae; Streptophyta; Magnoliopsida; Apiales; Araliaceae
Description: long non-coding RNA (PGIN_LNC017963)
Source: RNAcentral